GUCUAUGGCCAUGUCACCCUGAACAUGCCCGAUCUCAUCUGACCUUGGAAGCUAAGCAAGGUCGGGCCUGGUUAGUACUUAGAUGGGAGACCACCUAGGAAGACCAGGUGCUAUAGGUA
This 119-nucleotide ribosomal RNA is filed under the name Pteropus alecto (black flying fox). Lineage: Eukaryota; Metazoa; Chordata; Mammalia; Chiroptera; Pteropodidae. The record is from RNAcentral.